Molecule: transfer RNA, 84 nt
Filed under: Halalkalibaculum roseum
Lineage: Bacteria; Pseudomonadati; Balneolota; Balneolia; Balneolales; Balneolaceae
Also listed under: 4 other names
Rfam family: tRNA
About the family: Transfer RNA (tRNA) molecules are approximately 80 nucleotides in length. Their secondary structure includes four short double-helical elements and three loops (D, anti-codon, and T loops).
Source: Rfam by way of RNAcentral
GCCCUGGUGGCGGAAUUGGUAGACGCGCUGUCUUGAGGGGGCAGUUCCCUUCGGGGAGUGCUGGUUCGACUCCAGUCCAGGGCA